Molecule: ribosomal RNA, 336 nt
Filed under: uncultured Pseudonocardia sp.
Lineage: Bacteria; Bacillati; Actinomycetota; Actinomycetes; Pseudonocardiales; Pseudonocardiaceae
Description: bacterial SSU rRNA
Rfam family: Bacterial small subunit ribosomal RNA
Source: RNAcentral
UGGCUCAGAACGAACGCUGGCGGCGUGCUUAACACAUGCAAGUCGAGCGGUAAGGCCUCUUCGGGGGUACACGAGCGGCGAACGGGUGAGUAACACGUGGGUGACCUGCCCCCUACUCUGGGAUAAGCCUGGGAAACUGGGUCUAAUACUGGAUAUGACCUCAUGUCGCAUGGUGUGGGGUGGAAAGUUUUUUCGGUGGGGGAUGGGCCCGCGGCCUAUCAGCUUGUUGGUGGGGUGAUGGCCUACCAAGGCGACGACGGGUAGCCGGCCUGAGAGGGCGACCGGCCACACUGGGACUGAGAUACGGCCCAGACUCCUACGGGAGGCAGCAGUGGG